This is a non-coding RNA of Prunus avium (sweet cherry), 483 nucleotides long. NCBI's taxonomy places the organism in Eukaryota, Viridiplantae, Streptophyta, Magnoliopsida, Rosales, Rosaceae. The record is from RefSeq and is a predicted model, not a curated record.
AUGUGUUCUGUUCUUGGCGGUGAGGUUUUUGCUGAAUGUGAAAAGGAGAUUGGUGCAUUGGUUAAAAGGCUUUUGGGAUUGAUAUCCCAAGGGCUUGGCCCAGAGUAGGACUGCUUACAGAAGAAAUUGGGUGAGAAUCCUACUCAAAAAGCAGAAGGAAACUACUAUCCACCAUGUCCUGACCCUGAGCUCACACUUGGACUAUCUGUCCAUACUGAUCUCAAUGCACUCACAAUACUAAGGCAAACAGAGGGAGUGACUGGCCUUCAAGUAAUGAUCAAAGAUGAGAAAUGGGUUGCUGUUGAUCCUCUCCCAAUCGCCUCUGUUAUCAAUCUAGGUUUUGCGUAAUGGAAGGUAUAAGAGCGUGCACCACAGGGCAGUGGCCAACAAAGUUGAGCCAAGGUUGUCAUUAGCAAUGUUCUAUGGACCCAGCAAGGACACGGUGAUUGGUCCAAUUGAGGAUUUGAUUGACGAGGAACACCC